AUUGAACGCUGGCGGCAUGCCUUACACAUGCAAGUCGAACGGCAGCACGGGAGCAAUCCUGGUGGCGAGUGGCGAACGGGUGAGUAAAGUAUCGGAACGUGCCCAGUCGUGGGGGAUAACGUAGCGAAAGUUACGCUAAUACCGCAUACGAUCUAUGGAUGAAAGCGGGGGAUCGCAAGACCUCGCGCGAUUGGAGCGGCCGAUAUCAGAUUAGGUAGUUGGUGGGGUAAAGGCUCACCAAGCCGACGAUCUGUAGCUGGUCUGAGAGGACGACCAGCCACACUGGGACUGAGACACGGCCCAGACUCCUACGGGAGGCAGCAGUGGGGAAUUUUGGACAAUGGGCGAAAGCCUGAUCCAGUCAUGCCGCGCGCAGGAUGAAGGCCUUCGGGUUGUAAACUGCUUUUGUACGGAACGAAAAGGUUUGGCCUAAUAAGCUGAGCUCAUGACGGUACCGUAAGAAUAAGCACCGGCUAACUACGUGCCAGCCGCCGCGGUA
Molecule: ribosomal RNA, 499 nt
Filed under: uncultured bacterium
Lineage: Bacteria
Description: partial 16S ribosomal RNA
Rfam family: Bacterial small subunit ribosomal RNA
Source: RNAcentral